Actinia tenebrosa (Australian red waratah sea anemone) is the source of this 765-nucleotide long non-coding RNA. RefSeq lists it as uncharacterized. NCBI's taxonomy places the organism in Eukaryota, Metazoa, Cnidaria, Anthozoa, Actiniaria, Actiniidae. The record is from RefSeq and is a predicted model, not a curated record.
UCAGCCCAGAGGUUGUUUCAGAGUUCAAUCUUGGAGUGAGCUGUACCCUGACUUUGAACAGCCCAGAAUUAUGGUUAAAAUUUGAAGGUUUUAAUCAUACACUGUAUCCAAAAUUUCUACUAAAUUAUUGUCGUGUAUAUUGGAUCCCAAAUGGUUGACAAUGUCUAUAUUUGAUAAUACAAAAUAAUUAUCAGAGCUGUGUUUCAAAAAGGGAAUAUGAAUGAAAUAAAGGAAUUACGUCGAACCGACUGCAAGAAAGAUAUAUUCUAGACGAUUUGACAUGAGGGCAAGACAAACAGAGAAGUGUCUGACACGCAUGCGUUAUUCAUUUCAUUCUCCCCAGAGAGAGGUUUCAUUCCGGAAUGAGUGUCCGUUCCACGUUUACAUGAUACCGGCAUGGAAUAUCGUUCCGGAAUGAGCGUCUCGUUCCAGAAUGAAAACUGGGAUGACUCAUUCCGGAAUGACUCGUUCUGGAUUUAAAUUUUGCUUUGGUAUCAUGUAAACAAAUAUAAAGAAAUAUAUGGCAACUGAGAUGAACUCGUUCCGGAAUGAAACUCAUUCCGGCAUCAUGUAAACAGCCUCUUAUACGACAAUUAUAUGAUUUUUGGAACAAUAGAGUCAGACUUGUAAUAACCACAAAAAUAUAAAAAAAUAAUUUGUAAUUUAAACAAAGAGAUGUUGUAUGCACACACCUUAUAAAUGAUUAUUUUAUAUUAGGUAUGUAACGAACCUGUAAAGAAUCAUAUUAAAAAUAUACGUACCCAA